AGUGAACGCUGGCGGUAGGCCUAACACAUGCAAGUCGAACGGCAGCACAGUAAGAGCUUGCUCUUACGGGUGGCGAGUGGCGGACGGGUGAGGAAUACAUCGGAAUCUACUUUUUCGUGGGGGAUAACGUAGGGAAACUUACGCUAAUACCGCAUACGACCUACGGGUGAAAGCAGGGGAUCUUCGGACCUUGCGCGAUUGAAUGAGCCGAUGUCGGAUUAGCUAGUUGGCGGGGUAAAGGCACACCAAGGCGACGAUCCGUAGCUGGUCUGAGAGGAUGAUCAGCCACACUGGAACUGAGACACGGUCCAGACUCCUACGGGAGGCAGCAGUGGGGAAUAUUGGACAAUGGGCGCAAGCCUGAUCCAGCCAUACCGCGUGGGUGAAGAAGGCCUUCGGGUUGUAAAGCCCUUUUGUUGGGAAAGAAAAGCAGCAGGUUAAUACCCCGCUGUUCUGACGGUACCCAAAGAAUAAGCACCGGCUAACUUCGU
RNAcentral lists this ribosomal RNA (491 nucleotides) under uncultured bacterium. RNAcentral describes it as "partial 16S ribosomal RNA". It matches the Rfam family "Bacterial small subunit ribosomal RNA", at positions 29 to 506 of the family's 1533-position model. The record is from RNAcentral.